GAUGAACGCUGGCGGCGUGCCUAAUACAUGCAAGUCGAGCGAACAGACGAGGAGCUUGCUCCUCUGACGUUAGCGGCGGACGGGUGAGUAACACGUGGAUAACCUACCUAUAAGACUGGGAUAACUUCGGGAAACCGGAGCUAAUACCGGAUAAUAUAUUGAACCGCAUGGUUCAAUAGUGAAAGACGGUUUUGCUGUCACUUAUAGAUGGAUCCGCGCCGCAUUAGCUAGUUGGUAAGGUAACGGCUUACCAAGGCAACGAUGCGUAGCCGACCUGAGAGGGGGGUGCGACACACGGGAAAGGAGGACCGGGACGCGACCCCAGGGGGGGGGGGAAGAGGGAAUGCUGCCGAAAGGGGGGAAGGCCGGCGGGAGCACCGCGGGGGGGGUAAGAAGGGUUUUGGAAUCUAAAAACCUUGUUAUGGGGGAAAAAAAAAUGGGAAAGAAACAAUGCACGUCUUAACGUACCAUAACAAGAAAGCCCGGACUAACUACGGC
RNAcentral lists this ribosomal RNA (498 nucleotides) under uncultured bacterium. Its description in RNAcentral is "partial 16S ribosomal RNA". It matches the Rfam family "Bacterial small subunit ribosomal RNA", at positions 28 to 508 of the family's 1533-position model. The record is from RNAcentral.